This 30-nucleotide ribosomal RNA is filed under the name Actinosynnema mirum. RNAcentral describes it as "partial 16S ribosomal RNA". RNAcentral also lists the same sequence under 3 other names. Lineage: Bacteria; Bacillati; Actinomycetota; Actinomycetes; Pseudonocardiales; Pseudonocardiaceae. The record is from RNAcentral.
CCGGGAUCCGGUUGGAUCCACCUCCUUUCU